Molecule: long non-coding RNA, 458 nt
Organism: Pistacia vera
Lineage: Eukaryota; Viridiplantae; Streptophyta; Magnoliopsida; Sapindales; Anacardiaceae
Exons: 2
Source: RefSeq, a predicted model, not a curated record
AUGUUUUUAAAUUUUAUUCUGCUUUUCUUUUUUCUCUUAAUGUGAAACCCAGGAACAUCCUUUCAUGAGCAUGUAUGAUGACUUGAAUGUAGAUCUGUCCGCUUACUUCACCAAUGCAGGAUCUCCACUUGCAACCCUUUGAAACUUGAGUGGAUUUAAUUGUUGAAGGAGUUCACAUUUCGCAAACUAGCUUGAGACCCAAACGUGUGGGGAAUUUAGUAACAGAGAUUUUAGAAACCUGGUGAAAGAAUCCUAGAUGUCUUUGCGGUUGAAUUCUAAUAAUAGUCUGUACCUCAGAGAACCUUAGUACCAGAAGCCUUGAAGCAAAGUUUCAGCUAACCAGGAUAACCAGGUUUUAUGAUUGCAUUGUUUGCCAUGAUGUCAACUACUAUAAUUAAUUGUAUGAACUCAGAUAGAGAUGUACCGUUUUAUAAAAUGAACUAAAUUUUAUUUGUUUA